AACCAAGGCGCUGUGAUAAAUGAGUUAUCACGAAACGAAACAGAAAACAAGAGAAAGGCUGAGAGAUUACUCUACCUUCUCCCACAUACAGGACAUUUUCGCUCCCCAGGUGUAAAUGCGUAAGGAGAGAGAGAAAGAGAGAUGGCUUCUUCUUCUCCAGGCUGCGCUUACCUUUCCAAACUGACUCGUGUACUGUGAGUAUGCAGCAGAAGUGUGGAAGUGUGGAUGUGAACCCCUCCUCCUCCUCCUCCAGCUCCGGUUAACUCCUUUAUCCAGCAAAGCUCUUCUCAACGCACUUCACUCACACCUGCUAACAGUUCACUCAGUGUGAAAAGAAACGUCGAGUUGACAGAUUGACAGGCAGAAGCAAUCUUGAACUUCAAUUUAGUUCUGAGGGGGAAAAAAACAAGUGGAGUUUGAUGCCGCCGCCAUGAAUAAAUUACGAGACAACAGUUAGCGUCACGUCUGAGCCCAGCUUAGGGAAGGCCCUUUCCAGCAUGAACAGACUCAAGCAAAGUCUAUAAAGCCAUGAAGAAAAGCUUAGUUGGAGUUGGUUGGAGACUCCAGUAGCCUGCACAGAGCCAUAACUUCAGCCCUACUAAACGAUUUUGGAAUGAUUAAAGAGACAUUUUUUUCAGUCAGUGCAACUUAUAACUGGAUACAGGGUACAGUACAAGAAAUAAAGGUUAAGACCCAGCAGUGUCAGCUUGGUGGUGGUGGGGCUUAAACCUUUCAAUCAACAGUACAUUAAACCACCACUCUUGUUGAUCUUGAUCUUUCAGGAUACAGAUACUUUAAAUGAAAACAGGUUGGGUAAGUGCAAUCAGUGUACUCUGCUUUGAGGUAUUUAAAAGCAUCAAUGGUAGACUCUACGGUGUGUUAAAUGCAUGAAAUGAAAUCUCCCUGCUGAUUAAAAAUGGAUGUUACCAUACACAGCCUCUGGCGUGGCACUUGCCAGUAAAAGAACUCGUUAAUAUUCACCCCCAUGUCUUGCUAAUGUCUUAAAGUGAUAAAUAGUUGGGGGUUGGAGGCUGUUUGAUUGUUCUUUACAGGCAUUCUGUCAGAGCAUGAGGUGACUGGAAGUGGAUGGAUUUGGUCUGAGUAUGUAUUAGCAUCUUGUAUGUAAUGCUGAUAGAGUAAUUGUAUAUCAACAUGUAUAUUUUAUAUAAAGCAAAGUGUCAGUCAUGUUUGGUAAGAUCUAUAUUCUGAUUUUAUGCCUAUGUAUUGUUAGCAAGCAGACUAGAAGCAAAUGACCUACAUUCACCAAACUG
Molecule: long non-coding RNA, 1271 nt
Organism: Trichomycterus rosablanca
Lineage: Eukaryota; Metazoa; Chordata; Actinopteri; Siluriformes; Trichomycteridae
Exons: 3
Source: RefSeq, a predicted model, not a curated record